Molecule: unclassified non-coding RNA, 3104 nt
Filed under: Polistes fuscatus (common paper wasp)
Lineage: Eukaryota; Metazoa; Arthropoda; Insecta; Hymenoptera; Vespidae
Description: inactive protein tyrosine kinase pTKL-like, transcript variant X7
Source: RNAcentral
GUAAAAUAUCACAGAAUCUCUAUACUUUUUGAUACUAUUCAGUUUAUAAUCUAUGGAAGCUAUUAUACGAUACAAUUCAAUUGAUACGAAUUUAACUACGUAUUCCAAUUGUGAUUAAAUAGUGAAUCUAUCAAGAGUUAUUAUUAGCAACAUUAUGUCACCGAGAAUAAGGAAACGUCGUACAAUGGAUACACCCGGUGUUAUCACAAGAAAAAGAGCUAGAACACAUAAUUUGAGAAAUAAAAAUUCGAAUUCUUUGCAAGAUUUUGAGAAAGAUAUUGAAAAUAAGAAAAAAAGUAAAAUCAAUGUUUCACCCAAAAACAGUGAACAAUCUAGAACGAUAAAUUCUUUAAAUAAACCAUUUUCAGAAAAAAACACAAGCUCAGAAAAAUCAAAGAAAAGUUAUACUUCCAACAGGUUUAGGAUGAUUAAAAAUCUUAAGCCAAAGGCAAAUAAAUCUAUUGGACAUAAUGAUUCUGUAAGUGAUAUUGAGAACAUAACAUGUGAACUAUUUAAUGAUUCAUCUUUCAAUUUGAGUAUGAAUAAUGAACAGAAAAGCAUGCAAGACUUAUCGCUAAAUAAAAUUGUUACUCCUAAAAGUAGUCCUAUUUCAAUAACUUUAACACCUCAGAGGACUACGAAGACGCCAAAAAAAUCACCUUUACAUUUAAAUUCUCCUAAGACGCAUUCUAGAGUCUCUCUUAGAACACCAAAAACACCUAGAAAAUUAAUGCUUUCUGUUCAUUCUCCUACUAUAUUUAAUAAUUCUGAAAAAUCUUUAAAAAGCAGAAAAAGUAUGAAUGAAAGUACAUUAACUUAUGAUUCAAUGAGUAAUAUUAAAGUAAAAUUAAACAAAUUAAAGAUAAAUCAAAAGGGAAUACGUUCAUCUUCCGAAAAUAUAUUAAGAUUAUCUAAAUCUCCAAAAAUUGUAUUAAGAUCUCCAAAAAAGUCCAAAAGUAAAUCAUCAAAAAUGGGAUUAUCUAGUGAAAAGAAUACGAGCUUCACGGUAUUAAAAACAGAAAAAUCCCCCAAAAAGGGUAUAUCAACAAAAAUCUCUAAUCGUUCCAAGAAAAAUUAUGUAGUUAACAAAUCAAUGUCAAGAAAAGCAGAUAACUUAGAUAUAACUUUGACAAAUUCAAAUAAUCUAUCUGCUUUAUAUAAAGAAAUAAUAUCAAAAAAGCCAGUGAUAAUACUUGAAAGAAUCCCAUUAUUGGAAAACUUCAUUCGAUCAUCUAAGUUCAUAAAUAAUCAACACCCAAUGAAUAGCACGUUUAACGUCAAACAAAUAGAAAAACAAUUGUUUAAUAUUUCAAAUUCUUUAAAAACUUCAUUUUCAUUAUCUCCAACAAAAAAAAAAGAAUUAAAUAAUAUAAAUACUUUAAAUUUAACAUCAAGCCCACAAAUAAAGCGUAAAUCGCAUCUAACAGUAAGUGAUAAUAUAUUACUUCAUUUAUCACCAGAAGCAUCAAGUAGUCCUCUAAUUGAAAAAAGAAUUCAUAGAAGGUCUAUUGGUCUCAAUUUGACUAAGAAAACAAAUGAAUUUUAUAAUAGCAGUCAAAAUAACACUAUUAAUGUUAAUGAAAAGGAAAAAAAUAUAGCAAAUGAGACAUAUGAGCUUCGUGAACCAAAAACUCCGUACUUACAAGCAAAAUGCAGAAAACGUAAAGCAGAAGAAAGGAACUCCGAUAAUGAAAGAGAUACAAAAAGAACAUGUAAAGUUCAUUUUGCUGCUUCAGAAUCGCGAAUAACAACAUUAAAUAAUAAGAAUGCUGAGCUUAAUCCUUCUAUUUCAUUAUUCAAACCAGAAUCUGUUAAUAAUAGAGACAUUAGAAAAAUUCCAAUCGUUAAAAGUAUGUCAAGAUCUGUAUCCAAUAGUUCAACAAAUAAGAAUACACAGAAUUCUGAAAUUAAAAAAUCUCUUUUUAACAAUACUAGAAAAAUAGAAAAGACACCCUCAUCUACAUUAAACAAAACAAAACUUAUUGGAAGUGAAGAGAAAACAGAUAUCAAAGUACAUAGUGCCAAAAAAAUUCCAAAUUUUCAUGAAAUACACACAAAACUGUUCUCUAAAAUGGAAUCUCUUGUAGAUAACAGAAUUCGCCUGAUAAAGCAACAUAAAGCAUUAAAAUCAAUCAAUGUUUCAAAAUUAAAUACACAAAAAAAUGUAAAACGUUCGCCAACUAAAACAAAAAAUGACGGUUACAAUAGAUUUGGUUUUAAGAUAAGGAAACCUGAAGCCACUAACAUUGUUUUAACAAAACAACCGCCAAAUCGGCAUCGUGCUGCUAUAGCUUUUGAAAAAAGAAGACAUGGUCGUUCAUUGCUUUGGUGGAUAAUACAUCCAUACAGCACUUUAAGAUUUUUCUGGGAUCUAUUGAUGAUAAUUACAUAUUUAUAUAUUUUCAUCAUGGUACCAUACAUCAUGACAUUUCAUAGAAUAGCUAAAAACACAGAUACUGAGUCGUGGAUAAUUGUUUAUCCUGCAUAUGUAAUUUGUAUAAUUGAUAUAAUUCUUAAUUUUAUAACUGGAUAUGUAUCAACCGACGGUAAUGAAAUAUUUCUAAAUCCUGUUUUAAUAGCACGGUAAAUUUAUAAAGAUUUUUUGAAGAAAAUCUCGAUAACAGAAAAUUAGAUAUAUUUAAUAAUAUUAUUUAUCUUCAAGGAAUUAUGUAAAAAGAUAUUUUUUCAUAGACCUUGUUUCCUCUAUUCCUUAUACUUGGUUUUAUAAACAACGCAUAUUGCCACCUGGACCUAAUUCAAAUUCCAUAUUUCUUUUACUCGAGAUCUUGCCUAUAUUAAAGAUUAUAAGAUUAGGUACACUGUAUCAUUAUCUUAGACAACUUAAUAUUGUAAGUUUCUAUAAGAUAACAAUAUUUUCUAAUGUAUUAUUUAAAUAAGCUAAAAAGAAUAAUAUAUUCGUUUAACAGACUUUUGGAUGUUCUCAUGCCAAAAAAAUAAUUACUUGGCUUAUUAUCCGGACUUUAUUAAUUUUUCAUUGGAGCAGCUGUUUGUCUUAUCUAUUUCCAUAUAUUGUAAUGCAUAUAAUCGGAGAUAGUAUGGAGAACUCCGGAACAUAUUUAAUACACACAGGAUUAUAUAAACAA